Molecule: long non-coding RNA, 662 nt
Filed under: Canis lupus familiaris (dog)
Lineage: Eukaryota; Metazoa; Chordata; Mammalia; Carnivora; Canidae
Description: lncRNA (ENSCAFG00845026502.1)
Source: RNAcentral
GUUUUACAUUCUCCAACCUUUUUACUCUGAGCUUCACUGGAGGAUUCAUGACGAGAAAAGAGAUGACGCUGUGCAGAAAAAUGAUCUUUACCGCUGCAAAAUUUAUCCCUGCCAGAAACGCAAAAUGCUGCAGCACUUAAUUAAAGAAUAUAGAAAGUCACCAAAAUAUUAACAUUAAACCAUGGCCUCCGCCUCUCACUUUUUGCUUAAGAAUCUCACCAGAGGAGAAAUGACAGGAGGGAAGACAAUCUGAAUCUUUCUUCCCACCCCACCCCCAGUCCUCUGAAGAAAGACAUUGUUCAGCAAAUUAAACAGGAUUCAUUCCUUGAAGAAAAAGCACUGAUUCAAAGAGCCUAUAGAUAUUUAAUGGCCAAUCAGUAUUGCUCAGAGGGGAUCUCCUUGGCUUCAUGCAUCAACUGGGUUGCCUGUAACUUUACAAUUCCUUCUCCUUGACUUUGAACUUGAUCAUGUGACUUGUCUUGGCCAAUGGGAAGUUGCCACAUGCAACAUAAGGAGGGGCUUUAAAUAUACCUGUACACUUGGGUGAUCUCUUUUGCACCCCUGCCAUCUCCAUGAGAAGAACACAAGGAAGGUAAGAGACAAGUGGAGCAGGCCUACACAUCUGCCUCCUGAGGUAGAGGCAUCCCAGCAAACCCACAGAU